AGUGGCGGACGGGUGAGUAACACGUGAGCAACCUGCCUACUCAGAGUGGAAUAACAGUUGGAAACGGCUGCUAAUACCACAUAACGUUUUUGUGCCGCAUGACACUUCAACCAAAGAUUUAUCGCUGAGAGAUGGGCUCGCGUCCGAUUAGGUAGAUGGUGGGGUAACGGCCUACCAUGCCGACGAUCGGUAGCCGGACUGAGAGGUUGAUCGGCCACAUUGGGACUGAGACACGGCCCAGACUCCUACGGGAGGCAGCAGUGGGGGAUAUUGCACAAUGGGCGCAAGGCCCUGAUGCAGCAACGCCGCGUGCGGGAAGACGGCCUUCGGGUUGUAAACCGCUGUCCUUGGGGAAGAAACAAAUGACGGUACCCAAGAAGGAAGCCACGGCUAACUACGUGCCAGCCGCAGC
Molecule: ribosomal RNA, 412 nt
Filed under: uncultured bacterium
Lineage: Bacteria
Description: bacterial SSU rRNA
Rfam family: Bacterial small subunit ribosomal RNA
Source: RNAcentral